CUACUCAGGACAUCAUCCUGCAGUAACAGAAAUCUCACCUUGUGAUAUCACUUUUCAUCCUCUCGAGUCUCGCAUCUCGUAUUCGAUCCACCUCCACCUGGAGCUCCACCUCACUCUGGGCUCCUCCUGACUCCUGAAGCUCCACCUCGCACUAGGCUCUCUGUCAGGUAAUAAUAUCGUCUCAUCUUCUUUUUUUCCUCUAGAACAAUCCUAUCAUCACA
This 221-nucleotide long non-coding RNA is filed under the name Elaeis guineensis (African oil palm). RNAcentral describes it as "long non-coding RNA (EGUI_LNC000897)". Lineage: Eukaryota; Viridiplantae; Streptophyta; Magnoliopsida; Arecales; Arecaceae. The record is from RNAcentral.